ACGGAGGCAGCAGUGGGGAAUAUUGCACAAUGGGGGAAACCCUGAUGCAGCGACGCCGCGUGAGCGAAGAAGUAUUUCGGUAUGUAAAGCUCUAUCAGCAGGGAAGAUAAUGACGGUACCUGACUAAGAAGCCCCGGCUAACUACGUGCCAGCAGCCGCGGUAAUACGUAGGGGGCAAGCGUUAUCCGGAUUUACUGGGUGUAAAGGGAGCGUAGACGGCAUAACAAGUCUGAAGUGAAAUGCCGGGGCUCAACCCCGGAACUGCUUUGGAAACUGUUAAGCUUGAGUGCCGGAGAGGUAAGCGGAAUUCCUAGUGUAGCGGUGAAAUGCGUAGAUAUUAGGAGGAACACCAGUGGCGAAGGCGGCUUACUGGACGGUAACUGACGUUGAGGCUCGAAAGCGUGGGGAGCAAACAGGAUUAGAUACCCUGGUA
RNAcentral lists this ribosomal RNA (433 nucleotides) under uncultured Fusicatenibacter sp. RNAcentral describes it as "partial 16S ribosomal RNA". It matches the Rfam family "Bacterial small subunit ribosomal RNA", at positions 341 to 792 of the family's 1533-position model. The record is from RNAcentral. Lineage: Bacteria; Bacillati; Bacillota; Clostridia; Lachnospirales; Lachnospiraceae.